CAGAUACUCCAAGAUACACGUUACUUUGCCAAAGAAGAAAUUUGAUUAAAACAUCAGGAUGAAGGUUGUUGCUUGUCUAGUUGUUUUUCUUGCUGUAGCAUUGACAGACACCAAUGCAGAUGAUGCUGAGUGUGGUACUGCGAAAACUAAAUGCCAAUCAUUUGAGACUGCUGCUGCGAGUUCUGAUUGCGCGAAGAAAGAACCGUACUUUAAAUGCCUGAGAGAUAACGACUGUACCACAGGUGAAACGUUUAAGAAAUGUAACAGUGGUGCUGGUCUAGCCAUAUCUUGGAUGUUGCCAUUAGUAAUGUUAGUAAUGUCAAAGACGUUCUCUGAUUAAUAAACAAGAAGACGGCGAAGAAGAAGACGCACCAAUAACCAUAAAUCUACAAAGUAUUAGUGCCCACCCGACAUUAGCGUAUGAAAUACAUGUCCAGCUAUAAACGUUGUAAAAAUGCCAUUAAACUAUUUUAUAUAAGAACAAAUAUAAUCUCCUUAAAAUUAACAUUAUUAUGUUCCAUAGAAUACAUACACAGUUAGUAAUCUGUUUUAAUUUCAAUGGUUGUUGAACCUAUAAAUGUAGCGUUAACCGAAUAAACAUAUAUGUAGAUAUAUAUGUGGCUUUAAGUAAAUGAACAUAAUAUGUAGUUUUUAU
This is a long non-coding RNA of Patella vulgata (common limpet), 655 nucleotides long. RefSeq lists it as uncharacterized. The record is from RefSeq and is a predicted model, not a curated record. The transcript has 4 exons. Lineage: Eukaryota; Metazoa; Mollusca; Gastropoda; Patellidae.